AGUCCUUCUUGUUGUUUUUGUUGCUAGGGGCUGUGGGGUCACCUUCUCUUCCUCUCUUCUGCCACCCCAAGUCGUCUGUGUUGCGUGUCAUGCAGUGGGACAGCACGUUGGUCCGGACCUCAAGCUACCCACGUUCUAGUCCCGCCUCUGUCAUUUCCUAGAGCUGUGGCCUCGGAUCCCUCCCUGGUGCCACAGCAGCUGAGUGCGCAUCAAAUCUGAAGAAAAUCUACACAGUACAGACAGUACAGAUAUUUUGGAGUGUAUACAAUAAUAUCCCUCCUGUGACUAGCCUGCCUUUGAGAUGUAGUUAUCAUUUAAUGAGAGGAGAGAGGCGACCACUUUGCCCAUGAAGAGCAUCAUGCUUUUGAAGGUGGACGUGGAAAACACUAAUUGCACUCUGUAAAGAAUUCUUUGUCCUUUGCUGAUUGGUUUUGGAAACGGUCUUAACAGGAGGGAGAGUGAAGAGAAGACUUGCCGAAGCCGAUGCUGGUCAAUUUAGAGUGGGUUUCUGUCCUUGCAGAUGGGCAAUUA
Molecule: long non-coding RNA, 531 nt
Filed under: Homo sapiens (human)
Lineage: Eukaryota; Metazoa; Chordata; Mammalia; Primates; Hominidae
Description: non-protein coding lnc-PROK2-2:1
Source: RNAcentral